Molecule: ribosomal RNA, 253 nt
Filed under: uncultured bacterium
Lineage: Bacteria
Description: partial 16S ribosomal RNA
Rfam family: Bacterial small subunit ribosomal RNA
Source: RNAcentral
UACGUAGGGACCGAGCGUUGUCCGGAAUCAUUGGGCGUAAAGAGCGUGUAGGCGGCCACUUAAGUCCUGCGUGAAAUCCUGCGGCUCAACCGCAGGCGGUCGUGGGAAACUGGGUGGCUAGAGUGCGGGAGAGGAGAGUGGAAUUCCUGGUGUAGCGGUGAAAUGCGCAGAUAUCAGGAAGAACACCCGUGGCGAAAGCGGCUCUCUGGAACGGUACUGACGCUGAGACGCGAAAGCGUGGGGAGCGAACAGG